UCCUCCACUAGUCCACCGAUUUGAUUGUGAAAACACUCUAGCAGGUAAAUAUCUCCACUCCUACUAUUUCAUCCUCUUACACUUUGUAUACACCAUCAUGUCCACCAUCAAAAUCUGCACAUCAUCAUCAGAACUACAUGAAUCUCAACAUAAAAAAUCAAAUCUUUUGUUUAUCAAUUCAUUUCCUAGUUGUUGUGUUCAUCAAAAAAUCAGUUAUGUUAAACAAUUUAGGGUUUGUAGAUUAUCCUCAACAGACUCAAUUGAUACUACUAUUGAUAUGAAUGAUGAGAUUAUUAGAAAGAAAGAAAGAAGAAAUCUGUGGAUGAGAUAUCGUGGUGUAAAGAAAUUGGAUGAGAAACAUGUUUUAAGAGAUGAGAAAAAAAAACCCUCUUUUGUAUAUAAAUAUAAUAAUGGGGUUAUUGAUGAUGCUUUAGAAUCUUCUGUUGAUAAUGUUUCGAUGGAUUCGACUGUGGGGCAUUGUAAUUCUAUUUUGAAACAGCUUGAAUGUUGUAAUGAUGAUAAAGCUUUGAGCUUUUUUGAAUGGAUGAGAAUUAAUGGGAAGUUGAAAGAUAAUGUUGUGGCAUAUAAUGUAGCACUUAAGGUAUUGGGAAGGAAGGAGGAUUGGAUGGCGGCGGAGGGGUUGCUUCAACAAGUGAUUAGCGAUUCAGGGAGCCCACUUAGUUUUCAGGUUUUUAAUACACUGAUAUAUGCUUGUUUUAGGAAGGGGUAUGGGGAUUUGGCAACAAAAUGGUUCCGCUUGAUGUUGGAAAACGGGGUUCAGCCGAAUGUUGCUACAUUUGGUAUGUUGAUGAGUCUUUAUCAGAAGAGUGCUAAUGUGGCUGAUGCAGAAUUUGCAUUUGAGAAAAUGAGGGGAUUUAAAUUGCAAUGUCAAUCGGCUUACUCGGCUAUGAUUACUAUAUAUACCCGUCUCGGGUUAUAUGAUAAAUCAGAAGAGAUAAUUGGGUUUAUAAAAGAAGAUAGGGUGGUUCCGAAUUUGGAGAAUUGGUUGGUUCAGCUGAAUGCUUAUAGCCAACAGGGAAAGUUAGUGGAGGCUGAAGGGGUAUUGAAGGAAAUGAGAGAAGCUGGGACUUCACCAAAUAUUGUUGCAUAUAAUACAUUGAUCACUGGUUAUGGCAGAGUUUCGAAUAUGGAUGCUGCACAACUUCUAUUUCAUAACCUCGCAAAUGUUGGAUUGGAAGCUGAUGAGACAAGUUACCGGUCUAUGGUUGAAGGUUGGGGUAGAGCAAACAAUUAUAAGGAGACAAAGUGGUACUAUGAAAAACUUAAAGAAGCAGGUUUCAAGCCUAACUCCUCGAAUUUUUUUACUAUUAUAAACUUGCAAGUAAGGAAUAAGGAUGACGAGGGGGUCAUAGCGACUCUCAAUGAUAUGAGGAGGAUGGGGUGCCAAUAUUCUUCGAUCAUUAGUAGUGUUGUGCAGGCUUAUGAGAAGGUUCGAAGGGUAAACAAAGUGCCGCUAGUUUUGAGAGGUUCUUUCUAUAGUCAUGUUUUGGUCGAUCCAACUUCCUGUUCAAUUUUAGUCAUGGCGUAUGUGAAACAUCAGUUAGUUGAUGAUGUUUUGCAAAUUCUAAAGGAAAAGAAAUGGAAGGAUAACAUAUUCGAGGACAACUUGUACCAUUUGUUAAUUUGCUCCUGCAAAGAGUCUGAUCAUCGCGAGGAUGCAGUAAGAAUAUUUACUCAGAUGCCCACAUUUGAGGGAGACCCUAAUUUGCACAUAGCUUGCACAAUGAUAGACAUCUAUGGUUUCAUGGGUCGAUUUAAUGAAGCAAAGGACCUUUAUUUGAAGCUGAAAUCGUCGGGUAUUGCUUUGGAUAUGGUUACAUAUAGCGUUGUUGUGAGAAUGUAUGUCAAAUCUGGAUCACUAAAAGAAGCUUCUUUGGUUUUAUAUGACAUGGAGAAGCAGAAGGAGAUUGUUCCAGAUGUUUUUCUGUUCCGUGAUAUGCUUCGGAUUUAUCAACAGUGUCGUAUGCAGCAAAAAUUGGAAGAAAUAUAUUACCAGAUUUUGAAAAGCGGUAUUGCAUGGGAUCAAGAAAUGUACAACUGUGUUAUAAAUUGCUGCUCGCGUGCCUUACCUGUGGAUGAGCUUUCUAGGGUUUUCGAUGAGAUGCUUCAACGUGGUUAUGCGCCGAACACUAUAACUGUUAAUGUUAUGCUUGAUAUGUAUGGAAAAGCAAGGCUCUUCAAGAAGGCUAAGAAAGUAUUUUGGAUGGCCAGAAAACGGGGCCUAACUGACGUGAUCUCCUACAACACUAUUAUAGCUGCUUAUGGUCGAAACAAAGACUUAAAGAAUAUGAAAACUACUGUUAAAAAAAUGGAAUUUCAUGGGUUUUCGGUUUCCCUUGAGGCUUACAACUGUAUGUUAGAUGCUUAUGGGAAAGAAGGCGAAAUGGAAAAAUUUAGAGAUGUGCUGCGGAGGUUGAAAGAAUCAAGUGUUGUCUCGGACCAUUAUACGUACAAUAUACUAAUCAAUAUCUAUGGAGAGAAAGGGUGGAUUGAAGAAGUUGCAGAGGUGCUGGAAGAACUUCAAAAAUGUGGGUUAGGACCUGAUUUGUGCGGUUACAAUACAUUAAUAAAAGCAUAUGGACUUGCAGGAAUGGUUGAAAAGGCAGUUGCUUUGGUAAAGGAAAUGAGGGACAGCGGAAUUGAGCCAGAUCAAAUAACCUACUCUAAUCUGAUUGCUGCUCUUCAGAAGAAUGAUAAUUUCCUCGAGGCUGUUAAAUGGUCCUUGUGGAUGAAACAGACAACCAUGGAGACUUCAAGAUGCUGAUUUUCAUUCUCGGCAGCCGGGCAGGGUGCACCUCUUUUUUGCAUUGUCUGAAGUUCUAAAUAAUACUAUUGGCUUCUUAUUGUCUAGAAAAUGGCUGUAAGGGAGCUUUGGGUUUAUUAGCACUUGCACCUAUAUUGU
RNA transcript from Papaver somniferum (opium poppy), 2923 nucleotides. It is a transcript of the gene named pentatricopeptide repeat-containing protein At4g30825, chloroplastic-like, with no coding region annotated. NCBI's taxonomy places the organism in Eukaryota, Viridiplantae, Streptophyta, Magnoliopsida, Ranunculales, Papaveraceae. The transcript is spliced from 3 exons. The record is from RefSeq and is a predicted model, not a curated record.